RNAcentral lists this ribosomal RNA (246 nucleotides) under uncultured Eubacteriales bacterium. RNAcentral's name for it is "uncultured Clostridiales bacterium partial 16S ribosomal RNA". It matches the Rfam family "Bacterial small subunit ribosomal RNA", at positions 88 to 334 of the family's 1533-position model. Lineage: Bacteria; Bacillati; Bacillota; Clostridia; Eubacteriales. The record is from RNAcentral.
UGGAUUAGCGGCGGACGGGUGAGUAACACGUGAGUAACCUGCCUUAGACAUUGGGAUAGCCUCGGGAAACCGGGAUUAAUACCAAAUAAAAUCAUAAUGACACAUGUCAUAACGAUCAAAACUCCGGUGGUCUAAGAUGGACUCGCGUCCCAUUAGCUAGUUGGUAGAGUAAAAGCCUACCAAGGCGACGAUGGGUAGCCGGCCUGAGAGGGUGAACGGCCACAUUGAAACUGAGAAACGGUCCAA